GAUGCAGAAUUUGGAUCUGCAGCCCCAGCUGUAAAAAUCUUGCAACUCUGAGAGCCUCUACUGGAGACCAAAGCGAAGGCUGUCAGAGAUUACUCCAUCUUGGACCUUUUAGCAUUUUUCUUUCAGAAGCACAGGCAGCUUUGCCAUGACUCCCCCAAUGGACUGCAUUCUCUACAGCAAGGAGAGAAAUGCCACCUCACAAAAGGUGGCUGAGCAUAUCAUUGCAGUGAUCCAAACCAGCCACGCAACAUCCAGGACAGGUGCACAUACCGAACAGAAAGGAUUUAGGAACCAAUGGACUACUUGCUGUCGCUGCGUUCUCAGGUCUCGAAGGAUGCAGUGCAGAGAGAAGCAUAUCAUAAUCCCUACUGUAGAGGGGAAAACAAUGGCCUGGAGCACUGUAUCAUUGAGUAGCCAAGUUGGGAAUCCCAUCUGAAUCUGUCCUGUCUCUGGACAAAGCUGCCACUUACCUAUGAGUA
Falco peregrinus (peregrine falcon) is the source of this 479-nucleotide long non-coding RNA. RefSeq lists it as uncharacterized. NCBI's taxonomy places the organism in Eukaryota, Metazoa, Chordata, Aves, Falconiformes, Falconidae. The transcript has 3 exons. The record is from RefSeq and is a predicted model, not a curated record.